GGGGCUAUAGCGCAGUUGGGAGCGCGCUUGAAUGGCAUUCAAGAGGUCAGGGGUUCGAACCCCCUUAGCUCCACCA
Molecule: transfer RNA, 76 nt
Filed under: Acetivibrio thermocellus
Lineage: Bacteria; Bacillati; Bacillota; Clostridia; Acetivibrionales; Acetivibrionaceae
Also listed under: 8 other names
Description: Hungateiclostridium thermocellum tRNA_Ala_GGC
Rfam family: tRNA
About the family: Transfer RNA (tRNA) molecules are approximately 80 nucleotides in length. Their secondary structure includes four short double-helical elements and three loops (D, anti-codon, and T loops).
Source: RNAcentral